Molecule: long non-coding RNA, 318 nt
Filed under: Gallus gallus (chicken)
Lineage: Eukaryota; Metazoa; Chordata; Aves; Galliformes; Phasianidae
Source: RNAcentral
CCCGCAGCACUGGCUGGAAGUCCGCCGCGUGUCAGUGAGGAGCUGCUGCAGAAGGAAGAAGAAGAAGCGGCGUGGGACCUGGGAGGCAGGAGCAAGCAAGAAGAGGAAGCGGAAGCGUGCAGAUGCGGGGGGGAAGGAGAGAGGCUCCCUGGGCAAAGCACCUGUCCCGUUAGCAGGGGCACAGUCACGUUUGAGUUGAGAGCUGCCGGCGCCUUUGGUGACCAGGCUGGCGUUGUGCUGGGCGACCUCCCCGUAAGCGGGGCUCGGGUCUUUGCUGUAGUUGGCCUUUUGCCUUGCUGCUCCUUUGGCUGCCUGGGG